AGCUUGCUUUCGAUGGGCGUCGACCGGCGCACGGGUGAGUAACGCGUAUCCAACCUGCCCAUCACUUGGGGAUAACCUUGCGAAAGUAAGACUAAUACCCAAUGACGUCUCUAGAAGACAUCUGAAGGAGAUUAAAGAUUUAUCGGUGAUGGAUGGGGAUGCGUCUGAUUAGCUUGUUGGCGGGGUAACGGCCCACCAAGGCGACGAUCAGUAGGGGUUCUGAGAGGAAGGUCCCCCACAUUGGAACUGAGACACGGUCCAAACUCCUACGGGAGGCAGCAGUGAGGAAUAUUGGUCAAUGGGCGAGAGCCUGAACCAGCCAAGUAGCGUGCAGGAUGACGGCCCUAUGGGUUGUAAACUGCUUUUAUAAGGGAAUAAAGUGAGCCUCGUGAGGCUUUUUGCAUGUACCUUAUGAAUAAGGACCGGCUAAUUCCGUGCCAGCAGCCGCGGUAAUACGGAAGGUCCGGGCGUUAUCCGGAUUUAUUGGGUUUAAAGGGAGCGUAGGCCGGAGAUUACGCGUGUUGUGAAAUGUAGACGCUCAACGUCUGCACUGCAGCGCGAACUGGUUUCCUUGAGUACGCACAAAGUGGGCGGAAUUCGUGGUGUAGCGGUGAAAUGCUUAGAUAUCACGAAGAACUCCGAUUGCGAAGGCAGCUCACUGGAGCGCAACUGACGCUGAAGCUCGAAAGUGCGGGUAUCGAACAGGAUUAGAUACCCUGGUAGUCCGCACGGUAAACGAUGGAUGCCCGCUGUUGGUCUGAAUAGGUCAGCGGC
This 774-nucleotide ribosomal RNA is filed under the name uncultured bacterium. RNAcentral describes it as "bacterial SSU rRNA". It matches the Rfam family "Bacterial small subunit ribosomal RNA", at positions 71 to 847 of the family's 1533-position model. The record is from RNAcentral.